UAACUGUCUGAAAGAAACUAGGCCUUCUGAAAUAUAGAAGGCUCACCAACUGGUACUCUUCACUCCUGUAUGAUGAAAUCUACUACUUAUCAGGACCCCUAGAUUGUGCCUUAGAACCUGGAAGGAGGGGGUCAAUACAGAUGUACUGGUACAUAGAGCAAUCCAAAAUAAAGCUUUUAUAUAAAUAAAAUAGUUGAGAGCUAGUCAUAAACAUCAUGAAAGAUAUAAUUUUCAAAACUCAUGGGCAUUCUUGAAAAAAACAUAAAAAAACCUUUCUGUCAACAGCAGUUUCGGAUCUUUGUAUUACUUCUAAGUUAGGUGGCACUCCCCUAUAAGUCUGAUAUUCCACGGGCUCUAUGAAAUCCACCAUUUCUCAGUGGGGAAGCCCCCAACCCAAGUGUGCCGCAAGGAUUGGAGUGUCUGAGUCUGAUACGCCACAGGGCACUAGGCCAGAGUAUAAUAAUAUACCCAGAACGGCAAAUCACGGUUUUUGGCAAUGAGUUGUCUGAACUCAUGCCUUCUUCAGAAAAUCACCUCAGCUCUCUUUAUGCCUAAUUUUAUCCAGUUCUGAAUCAUGUAUUAUUCUAGUUUCAUCAUUUGAAAAAUCUGAUUUCAAACAUGCAUUCUAUUCUGUUCUGAAUUACCAUGGCAUUAUCUGGAUUGGUAUUGUCACACCAAGACUUGUAAGUCCUAUUUUUGAGCCCUAAUAUAUCAUGCAUGAUUCUUUCAUUAAAACAUAGUUCAGACCACCCAAACAUGCAAUUUAACAAGCGGAAUUCAUGUUCCGAAAAUAUAAGUCAAAACUAUGCAAAAUUCUAUUUCUUUCAAUAAACAAGUGGUGGUCAUGUAAUCUUUAACAAACUAUGCAACCCUUCUCAUUAUAUGAUUAUGUUCAACAUUCAUCAACAUAAACAACCCUCUCUCUUUUAAAAUAAAAAUCAUAAUCCAAAUAAAACAUUAUUCAAGAUAUUUCAUAACAUGCUUUUCAAGGUGCAUUCAAACUAUUUCAUAGUAUAUCAUAAGUAAAUGAAAAUCAUCACAAAAGAGGGAUUUUUCAUGAAUCAUGCUCUCAAUUCAAUCAUCAACUUUAAAACACAUGCUUACAAUAUAUAAAUAAUUUUAAAUAAAUUUGGAGGAAAGCUUAAAGGCCAAAACAAUAUCAUCAAUGCUUCUAAAGCAUGAAUAUAUUCAUAAAUCUGAAAGACCCUUUCUUAAAACCAAGAUUUUUAUACCCAUGAGAUUUUAGGAAAACUCCUCGUACCUUAAAUUAGAAGCUUUUGAAUGAACUCUAGUUUUUGGGAUGCUAUACGUACGAUAGAUGGGUGCCUCUUGUAGCCCUCGCAAUGGGAAUUUUGAAUCUUGAAGAAUUAAGAAAAACCCACGGUUAAAUCUUGAGAUAUUUGGAUUUUUAGUUUGAAACCCUAGGGUGAUUUUUGAUGAAUUUGAGAGAAAAGAAUCAUAUUUUUGUGUUUUGGGAGUUUAAUCCAGUGUUACAGCUGGAUAAGGGAUGAAAGAUACCCAUUUUGCCCUUAAAAAUGCGGAAACAGAAUCUGAAAUUUUGGUGCGUGAGAUAGGGCGUGCGUCGCACGCUUAUCGCAUGAUGCUACUGUGUUAGUCACUAAAAUGACCAUAACUUUUUGUUCAAGUAUCGGAUUUAGGCAAAAUUGGUAUCGUUAGAAAGUUAAUUCGAAGAGCUUUCAUUUGAUAUAUAGUAGGCACUCUAAUUCAUUAUAUACAAAGAGUUAUAGUCGAUUGAAGUUGACCCAAAUUUCGAUGCUCACUCAAACUCGAAUGAUAGGAAAGCUUUCAACUUGUCCUUGAGUUAGGGGACCUCUAUGAUCUCAAUUCAUGCUUAAAUAGGUUCAUACACUACAUAAUUGAUUAACAUGUCAAAUUUGCAUAGGAUUUAUGGCUUUUAGAUCAUCUAUGCAUAGAAAUGAUGGUUUUUAUUCUAGCCCGAAAUGCAAGGUGUUACACCUAUGCAAUGAAUUAAUCUAAUCUAGUCUAAUUUAGAGACAAUGUUAAAAGAGCUUACUUUUUUCUGGCACAGUCCAAAUAGAUUUAAAACUGCUGCCGGAGCAGUUCUUUACUAUUUUUAUCUUGUCUUGUAUUGGAAAUCUUUGCCUCAAUAUUCACACAACCUCCACCAUCUUGUUGGUUCGCUCCUCAUAAUUGUCUUCAAAGCCAUAAAUAGGUUCGCUCCUCGUAAUUGUAUUCAAAGCCAUAAAUAGGUGGCAUCGGUGCAUUCUCUGUCUAUUUUUCCACCAACAUCAUAAUUGUAUUCAAAGCCAUAAAUAGGUGGCAUCGGUGCAUCCUCUGUCUAUUUUUCCACCAACAUUUCCUCCAAUUUCUUCUCUGGCAUUCUGCCAUUUGGUAGGAAACUAAUUUCUUGUUCAGACCUCUCAAUCAAUUCUGCCUACGAGUUAUCACUUUAGAAGAACUUUCUUAUGAAU
Molecule: long non-coding RNA, 2453 nt
Filed under: Capsicum annuum
Lineage: Eukaryota; Viridiplantae; Streptophyta; Magnoliopsida; Solanales; Solanaceae
Description: long non-coding RNA (CANN_LNC012031)
Source: RNAcentral